AUUGAACGCUGGCGGCAGGCCUAACACAUGCAAGUCGAGCGAGCGGCGGACGGGUGAGUAAUGUAUGGGGACUGCCCGCUAGAGGGGGAUAACUACUGGAAACGGUAGCUAAUACCGCAUACUAUCGGAUAACCCAUAUGGGAUUAGCUAGGAGUGUAGGGAAUGGCUCACCUAGGCGACGAUCCCUAGCUGGUCUGAGAGGAUGAUCAGCCACACUGGGACUGAGACACGGCCCAGACUCCUACGGAGGCAGCAGUGGGGAAUAUUGCACAAUGGGCGCAAGCCUGAUGCAGCCAUGCCGCGGGUAUGAAGAAGGCCCUAGGGUUGUAAAGUACUUUCAGUCGGGAGGCGUUACCGACAGAAGAAGCACCGGCUAACUCCGUGCCAGUCGCCGCGGUAAUAC
This 403-nucleotide ribosomal RNA is filed under the name uncultured bacterium. RNAcentral describes it as "partial 16S ribosomal RNA". It matches the Rfam family "Bacterial small subunit ribosomal RNA", at positions 30 to 526 of the family's 1533-position model. The record is from RNAcentral.